Pelobates cultripes (western spadefoot toad) is the source of this 1231-nucleotide non-coding RNA. Lineage: Eukaryota; Metazoa; Chordata; Amphibia; Anura; Pelobatidae. The record is from the annotation of a GenBank genome assembly.
GCAAGAUAGAAAAUAGGAUUAAAGGAGAAAGAAACUGAUAGAGCAAAACUACAGCAAGUAAAGCAACACAGCAGUAUCCUGCUAUAAGAAGUGAUGCCAGGAUUGAAGACCGAAACACAGAAAGUCCAUACAAAUAGCAAACUCAGUCACUUCUAUGGGAAUACAAGUGUAUUAAUAUGGAAUUAUGGAUAUAUUACCCAUAACGGACAUAUAUUGUUAUUGCAAGUUCAAAUACCCCUGGCCUUUGGGUUCACAUCCUUCUGCUCAGGGAUGGGGGUGUAAAAAGGGGAGAGAAAGGAGCAUGUGCAUAGCUUGAGAACUGUAUAGACACAAUACAUGGGGAAAGGCAGAGAUUGGCUAACUUGGAUGAACUGAUAUCUAGUCAAGGUGCUAAAAUAAAGAGAGAUCAGUGUCAUGCGGUCCUGAGGAGAUGGGAGGGAUGUGUUGAUAUGGUGUGAUGAACAGGAACAGUUAGGGGGGAAAUAUAAGAUAUUGGGAGGGGGAUUACCCCAAUCAUAGACUUGCCUAGGACCUCAAUAAUAUUAAUUUGUACGGAUUGCAUACAUUUCUGACUUUAUUUUACCCAUAAGAAGAAAUUACAUGUAAUUGAUAUGUAGGACAAUAUUCUAAAUGUUCAAUCUGAGAAUAAUUUUAAAGAUGUGAGUUUUGGACAGUAGAUGGUGCAAAUACAAGAGGUCCAAGGAAUCCAAAGGAAGGAAAAUACGAUUACAAUGUACAAGCCACUGUAAAUUGCAUGUUACAACAAAACUGUACUUUGACACUCAAAACUGCAGUUUCCAGUUCUUGAUAGACAAGGUGCAAGUUGCAAUAAAUGAAUAAAUCAUGCACAACAAUCACGCUUCUCCAGCACUAAGGAUGAUGCAGUUUGAGGUUUACAAAAUGGAUUGUGUACCAAAAACUGUAUGUGCAGGAUAUGCAUUUUGAGAGUCAAGAGUUGCUAACUUAUCACUUCUGCCACCGAUCACUGCUUUCUUGUCAUUGCAUAAUGGCAACGUCCCAGAAUGUGUGGGAACACCGGUCACAUUACAAGCCAAUGCCCCAUGAUAUCUUGACUGUGCUGGGCUGCCAGUAAGGGAAACAAAAACGGUCUGCUUAAAUUUUAAAACAAGGGAUAAAAAGAAAAACAAUAUCUACAAUUUUAUUUUAAAGAUGAAAAUGGAAAUGAUCUCUCUACUGGUUUGUUGCAAAUGUGUUCAUUUCUGAAAAAGAG